RNAcentral lists this ribosomal RNA (451 nucleotides) under uncultured bacterium. Its description in RNAcentral is "partial 16S ribosomal RNA". It matches the Rfam family "Bacterial small subunit ribosomal RNA", at positions 354 to 796 of the family's 1533-position model. The record is from RNAcentral.
GUGGGGAAUAUUGGACAAUGGGGGGAACCCUGAUCCAGCCAUGCCGCGUGUGUGAAGAAGGCCUUUUGGUUGUAAAGCACUUUAAGCGAGGAGGAGGCUACCGAGAUUAAUACUCUUGGAUAGUGGACGUUACUCGUAGAAUAAGCACCGGCUAACUCUGUGCCAGCAGCCGCGGUAAUACAGAGGGUGCAAGCGUUAAUCGGAUUUACUGGGCGUAAAGCGCGCGUAGGUGGCCAAUUAAGUCAAAUGUGAAAUCCCCGAGCUUAACUUGGGAAUUGCAUUCGAUACUGGUUGGCUAGAGUAUGGGAGAGGAUGGUAGAAUUCCAGGUGUAGCGGUGAAAUGCGUAGAGAUCUGGAGGAAUACCGAUGGCGAAGGCAGCCAUCUGGCCUAAUACUGACACUGAGGUGCGAAAGCAUGGGGAGCAAACAGGAUUAGAUACCCUAGUAGUCC